CUGCUCGAGCCCAAGGAAAUCAUCUCCUACAUGCUGCGCAGUUUGGGUCCUGAGUAUGACCCUCUGGUGACCAGCAUCACCACACGCGUCGACUAGGUCAUGGUGAGUGAUCUUUAUGCCCACAUGCUAAGCUUUGAGA
Molecule: small nucleolar RNA, 139 nt
Organism: Phragmites australis (common reed)
Lineage: Eukaryota; Viridiplantae; Streptophyta; Magnoliopsida; Poales; Poaceae
Product: small nucleolar RNA Z247
Exons: 1
Source: RefSeq, a predicted model, not a curated record